UUCAGACCAGCCUGGACAACAUAGCAAAACCCUGUCUCUACUAAAAAUACAAAAACUGAGGUGGGAGGAUCAGCAGAGCCUGGGGAGGCCGAGGCUGCAGUGAGCUGUGAUCGUGCCACUGCACUCCAGCCUGGGUGACAGAGUGACACCCUGUCUCAAAAAAAAGAAAUGGAUGGAAGGUAAAGUUUCUGGGAGUCUGAAACUUCUCUCCAUCCCCCUCUCCCAGAGGUGAUGGUGGGUAUGGGCUACACACGGGAAGAAAUCAAAGAGGCCUUGACCAGCCAGAAGUACAACGAAGUGACCGCCACCUACCUCCUGCUGGGCAGGAAGACUGAGGAGGGUGGGGACCGGGGCGCCCCAGGGCUGGCCCUGGCACGGGUGCGGGCGCCCAGCGACACCACCAAUGGAACAAGUUCCAGCAAAGGCACCAGCCAUAGCAAAGGGCAGCGGAGUUCCUCUUCCACCUACCACCGCCAGCGCAGGCAUAGCGAUUUCUGUGGCCCAUCCCCUGCACCCCUGCACCCCAAACGGAGCCCGACGAGCACGGGGGAGGCGGAGCUGAAGGAGGAGCGGCUGCCAGGCCGGAAGGCGAGCUGCAGCGCCGCGGGGAGCGGGAGUCGAGGGCUGCCCCCCUCCAGCCCCAUGGUCAGCAGCGCCCACAACCCCAACAAGGCAGAGAUCCCAGAGCGGCGGAAGGACAGCAUGAGCACCCCC
RNAcentral lists this small RNA (714 nucleotides) under Pongo abelii (Sumatran orangutan). RNAcentral describes it as "retained intron". Lineage: Eukaryota; Metazoa; Chordata; Mammalia; Primates; Hominidae. The record is from RNAcentral.